UGAAUAACGUGUGCAUGAUGG
This 21-nucleotide non-coding RNA is filed under the name Arabidopsis thaliana (thale cress). Lineage: Eukaryota; Viridiplantae; Streptophyta; Magnoliopsida; Brassicales; Brassicaceae. The record is from RNAcentral.